RNAcentral lists this ribosomal RNA (433 nucleotides) under uncultured bacterium. Its description in RNAcentral is "partial 16S ribosomal RNA". It matches the Rfam family "Bacterial small subunit ribosomal RNA", at positions 28 to 507 of the family's 1533-position model. The record is from RNAcentral.
GACGAACGCUGGCGGCAUGCUUAACACAUGCAAGUCGAACGGAAACGCCCGGUCUUGGUGCGCUCGGGGGCUUGACGACGGGGGAGUAGCCCUUAGGUUACCAAUAACUCACUGAGGGAGGUGCUAAUACCGGUGAAUGUCAUAGGGCCAAAGAGUUAUCGCCUUGGGAUGGGGGCGCGUUGGAUUAGCUGGUUGGUAGGGUAAUAGCCUAGCAAGGACACGUUGCAUGGCUGGUGUGUUAGGAGGACCCGCAAGACUGGGACUGAGACACGGACCAGUCUCCUACGGGACGGAGCAGUGGGGAAUAUUGUGCGAUGGGCCAAAGCCUGAUCCAGCAAUGCCGCGUGAGUGAUGAAGGCGUUAGGGUUGUAAAGCUCUUUUAGCCGAGAUGAUAAUGACAGUACCGGGAGAAUAAGCACCGGCUAACUCCGUG